This 301-nucleotide ribosomal RNA is filed under the name uncultured bacterium. RNAcentral's name for it is "partial 16S ribosomal RNA". It matches the Rfam family "Bacterial small subunit ribosomal RNA", at positions 509 to 809 of the family's 1533-position model. The record is from RNAcentral.
CAGUAGCCGCGGUAAAACGUAGGGUGCAAGCGUUAAUCGGAAUUACUGGGCGUAAAGCGUGCGCAGGCGGUUCGUUAAGACAGAUGUGAAACCCCCGGGCUUAACCUGGGAACUGCAUUUGUGACUGGCGAGCUAGAGUAUGGGAGAGGGUGGUAGAAUUCCACGUGUAGCAGUGAAAUGCGUAGAGAUGUGGAGGAAUACCGAUGGCGAAGGCAGCCCCCUGGGCUAAUACUGACGCUGAUGCACGAAAGCAUGGGGAGCAAACAGGAUUAGAUACCCCAGUAGUCCCUGUCUCUUAUAU